RNAcentral lists this ribosomal RNA (644 nucleotides) under Perenniporia sp. DLL2011-1. RNAcentral describes it as "eukaryotic LSU rRNA". The stretch from base 255 to 408 matches the Rfam family "5.8S ribosomal RNA". Lineage: Eukaryota; Fungi; Basidiomycota; Agaricomycetes; Polyporales; Polyporaceae. The record is from RNAcentral.
GUCGUAACAAGGUUUCCGUAGGUGAACCUGCGGAAGGAUCAUUAUCGAGUUAUUGACAGAGCUGUAGCUGGCCUUUCGGGGCAUGUGCACGCUCUGCUCUUCCACUCCCACACCUGUGCACUCAUUGUGGGUUUCAGAUGGGCGAAGCGGGCCUUCAACUUGAAGGCCCCGUGUAGUCUCUUUGUGAUCUACGUUUACAACAUCAACUCUAUUGUAUCAGAAUGUGUAUAUUGUGAUGUAAUGCAUCCAUGUAUAACUUUCAGCAACGGAUCUCUUGGCUCUCGCAUCGAUGAAGAACGCAGCGAAAUGCGAUAAGUAAUGUGAAUUGCAGAAUUCAGUGAAUCAUCGAAUCUUUGAACGCACCUUGCGCUCCUUGGUAUUCCGAGGAGCAUGCCUGUUUGAGUGUCAUGAAAUCUUCAACCCAUAAUAAGCCUUUGCGGGUUUUUACUGUGGGCUUGGACUUUGGAGACUUUGCCGGCCUGUGUUAACGGGUCGGCUUCUCUUAAAUGCAUUAGCUCGAGACCUUGCGGAUCGGCUUUCGGUGUGAUAAUUUGUCUACGCCGUGGUUGGGAAGCGUUUGGUGGGCUUCUAACAGUCUUGAAUGAGACGCUAUUUGACAUCUGGCCUCAAAUCAGGUAGGAUUA